CUUUUGUGAGGGUCUUGAGUCAGAAGGUUGUUGUGCAAGUCAGUGAUGGAGGCAUCCAAUCCAGAAAGAAACUUCAUCAAAACAUCUAUGGAGAAGACAAACAAGCAGCUGGAUAUAAGAGAUCAUGUCCUCUGGAAUGACAAGAAGAGGACUGGUCCCCCGACUGAGUCUGGUUUCUCCCAAGAUGAAUCAACUGUUUUCCAAACUGAUGAAGUUUGCAACAUCGACGCCACUAUUGAACGAAAUCAACAUUGAACUGACUCGAGCUGAAUGAAGACACUAUUGUCUUCUUUAGAGCUGAACCUGUUUCAUCAUGAAUGAACGUUCACACUUGUGGAACUGAACUGAAUUAACACUAUUAUCUUGCUACAGCUGCUUUACAGCAGAAUUUCUAACUUUUUUAUAUAUUUGAAGAAGUUUACAUCAUUAAUUAUGUUAUUCUCCUGUUUAUUAAUUAAUGUGAAGCUGUUUUGAAAUAAUCUGUAUUGUAUAAAGUUCUAUGUAAAUAACAUUGAGAUAAGAAAUGUGGAAGAAAUGUGCUUUAAUUGUCACAGAAAUAUCAUCAUAAAAAAAAAAACCAACACUUUUAGUAAUACUUUUUAAGGUGCCCUUGUUACAGUGUACUUAUACAAAUAAGUAUUGUACUGAGUAAUAUUAAUUAACAACAUAUACUUGCUAUAUAAUUAGGGUUUGGUUUAGGGUUAGUUGCUUGUAAUUAUGCAUAAUUUACUGUUAUUACUAUAGUAAGUACAUUUAAGAUGUGUAAUAGGGACACUGUAAAAAAAAAAAAAAAAAAAGUAUAACCAAAA
This is a long non-coding RNA of Ctenopharyngodon idella (grass carp), 809 nucleotides long. RefSeq lists it as uncharacterized. The transcript is spliced from 3 exons. Lineage: Eukaryota; Metazoa; Chordata; Actinopteri; Cypriniformes; Xenocyprididae. The record is from RefSeq and is a predicted model, not a curated record.